RNAcentral lists this unclassified non-coding RNA (279 nucleotides) under plant metagenome. Its description in RNAcentral is "partial contains small subunit ribosomal RNA, internal transcribed spacer 1, and 5.8S ribosomal RNA". The record is from RNAcentral.
UUUCCGUAGGUGAACCUGCGGAAGGAUCAUUCUUGUAUAACGGUGGAGCGAGGUUUGUUGAUGACACGAACAGUCGGGCACGCACGAGAGCCUCGCACACUUCCACCUCACCCCUAUCUCCAACCCCGCGCGGGUCCCCCUUUGUCUUUCUGGGAGAGGGGCUGACGUAUUCACACAAACUUAGUAUGUAGUGUAGCGUGUAUCUUUUGUUUUUGCGAUCACGCGAUCGAUACAACUUUCAACAACGGAUCUCUUGGCUCCCGCCACGCAGAAGAACGC